CUACAGGCUUAACACAUGCAAGUCGAGGGGAAACGAUAUUGGAAGCUUGCUUCCGAUAGGCGUCGACCGGCGCACGGGUGAGUAACGCGUAUCCAACCUGCCCACCACUUGGGGAUAACCUUGCGAAAGUAAGACUAAUACCCAAUGAUAUCUCUAGGAGACAUCUGAAAGAGAUUAAAGAUUUAUCGGUGAUGGAUGGGGAUGCGUCUGAUUAGCUUGUUGGCGGGGUAACGGCCCACCAAGGCAACGAUCAGUAGGGGUUCUGAGAGGAAGGUCCCCCACAUUGGAACUGAGACACGGUCCAAACUCCUACGGGAGGCAGCAGUGAGGAAUAUUGGUCAAUGGACGAGAGUCUGAACCAGCCAAGUAGCGUGCAGGAAGACGGCCCUAUGGGUUGUAAACUGCUUUUAUAAGGGAAUAAAGUGAGUCUCGUGAGACUUUUUGCAUGUACCUUAUGAAUAAGGACCGGCUAAUUCCGUGCCAGCAGCCGCGGUAAUACGGAAGGUCCGGGCGUUAUCCGGAUUUAUUGGUUUAAAGGGAGCGUAGGCCGGAGAUUAAGCGUGUUGUGAAAUGUAGACGCUCAACGUCUGCACUGCAGCGCGAACUGGUUUCCUUGAGUACGCACAAAGUGGGCGGAAUUCGUGGUGUAGCGGUGAAAUGCUUAGAUAUCACGAAGAACUCCGAUUGCGAAGGCAGCUCACUGGAGCGCAACUGACGCUGAAGCUCGAAAGUGCGGGUAUCGAACAGGAUUAGAUACCCUGGUAGUCCGCACGGUAAACGAUGGAUGCCCGCUGUUGGUCUGAAUAGGUCAGCGGCCAAGCGAAAGCAUUAAGCAUCCCACCUGGGGAGUACGCCGGCAACGGUGAAACUCAAAGGAAUUGACGGGGGCCCGCACAAGCGGAGGAACAUGUGGUUUAAUUCGAUGAUACGCGAGGAACCUUACCCGGGCUUGAAUUGCAGAGGAAGGAUUUGGAGACAAUGACGCCCUUCGGGGGCUCUGUGAAGGUGCUGCAUGGUUGUCGUCAGCUCGUGCCGUGAGGUGUCGGCUUAAGUGCCAUAACGAGCGCAACCCCUCUCCUUAGUUGCCAUCAGGUCAAGCUGGGCACUCUGGGGACACUGCCACCGUAAGGUGUGAGGAAGGUGGGGAUGA
RNAcentral lists this ribosomal RNA (1150 nucleotides) under uncultured bacterium. RNAcentral describes it as "bacterial SSU rRNA". It matches the Rfam family "Bacterial small subunit ribosomal RNA", at positions 40 to 1182 of the family's 1533-position model. The record is from RNAcentral.